UAAUAAGCAUCGAUGGGAACCGAGUAAUUCUUUAUCUCCCUGUACAGAGAGCUGAUGGUGGUGCAAAUCAGCCAUAGAUAAAGAAUGAAUUACAGUCCCGGAGCUUCUUUUUCGUAGUAAAGCCCCAUGCUUUAUGAAGGGAAAGACGGUCUAUUGAUCGUUAACAAUGUUGAGUGGUGAAGUUAAUUCUUCACAACAAGGGUGGUACCGCGAUUAUUCGUCCCUGCU
This 228-nucleotide non-coding RNA is filed under the name Bacillus sp. (in: firmicutes). Its description in RNAcentral is "Bacillus sp. T-box sequence". It matches the Rfam family "T-box leader". From Rfam's summary of the family: Uncharged tRNA acts as the effector for transcription antitermination of genes in the T-box leader family. T-boxes are found upstream of many aminoacyl-tRNA synthetase genes and some amino acid biosynthetic genes usually in Gram-positive bacteria. The record is from RNAcentral. Lineage: Bacteria; Bacillati; Bacillota; Bacilli; Caryophanales; Bacillaceae.